This is a microRNA precursor of Petromyzon marinus (sea lamprey), 86 nucleotides long. Ensembl annotates it as pma-let-7d. Its record names the gene pma-let-7d. The record is from Ensembl. NCBI's taxonomy places the organism in Eukaryota, Metazoa, Chordata, Hyperoartia, Petromyzontiformes, Petromyzontidae.
GGUGAGGUGAGGUAGUAGGUUGUAAAGUUGUAGGGUGUCAUUUGUUUACACCCGAUUUGGAGAUAACUGUACAACCUAUUGCCUUC